Molecule: non-coding RNA, 602 nt
Organism: Camelina sativa (false flax)
Lineage: Eukaryota; Viridiplantae; Streptophyta; Magnoliopsida; Brassicales; Brassicaceae
Source: RefSeq, a predicted model, not a curated record
UGGUGGAUAGGUUGAUGGUGGAGUUGUGCCACCAGACAAAGCCUCCCUGCAUCUUACAGCCAUAGAGGAUUCAGCGUACAAAGAAGACAAAAUAAAAUCUUAUGCUGGAAACAAACAGUUCUAUACUUAAAAGAUGUGUUAAUCAUAUGUGAGGAUGAGACAAUCACUGGAACCAUGUCGUUUCUCCUAACAAGAAGAAUUCUCAAGACAUUGACAUAAAAUAGUAUGUUAUUCUUUACAAAACUGAAACAGGGCAUUGCUUAUAUUCUUUAGUACUAUUUUAUUGUUAUUGAUUAUAUUUAGGAAAAGGGUGUUUCUUGUUAUAAAAUCAGGGUAUUGGUGUGUUUGUUUGUGGUUUCUUUUGAUCUAGCAAAUUCGGAGCUUUGUUUGCAUCCAUACCAGUCCCGAUAUACGCAGCAUUGGACUCUGUUUUAUUCGACCUUGUUGAGAUUAGAGCUACAGAAAGACAGGCAACGAUAUAUGAUGCAUCACCUUAACAGAAAUAUGAAAAAUGGGGAACCCGAUUUGUUGAAACCAUCAAAAAGAGCACCAAGAUCACCCCCAGAUGUUUGCCCAUCCAACCUAAGGUAUUUGUACCUUUC